AGUCUGUGAUGAAGACUGUGGAACUUAUUUUGUCUGAAUUUUCUAUGAUUACAAACCUAUUACUGCCUUCCUUCUGAGGCU
This is a small nucleolar RNA of Elaeis guineensis (African oil palm), 81 nucleotides long. RefSeq annotates it as small nucleolar RNA U83. NCBI's taxonomy places the organism in Eukaryota, Viridiplantae, Streptophyta, Magnoliopsida, Arecales, Arecaceae. The record is from RefSeq and is a predicted model, not a curated record.